GAAAUGCGAUAAGUAAUGUGAAUUGCAGAAUUCAGUGAAUCAUCGAGUCUUUGAACGCACCUUGCGCUCCUUGGUAUUCCGAGGAGCAUGCCUGUUUGAGUGUCAUGAAACCCUCAAACCCAAGUUUUGGAUUUCGAUCCAUGCGUGAGUUUGGAUUUGGAUGUUGGCCGGUGAUGAACCGAGUCAUCUUAAAAGUAUUAGCUUGGCUCUGUCUAUAUGACUGGUUUGACUUGGCAUAAUAAGUAUUUUGCUGAGGACAUCUUCGGAUGGCCAGGACCUAGACUACUGUCUGCUAACUAAACCAUCACUUUAAGUGCAUCUUUGGAUGUUACCCAUUGUGUAACUUUGACAUCUGGCCCCACAUCAAGUAGGACUACCCGCUGAACUUAA
This 390-nucleotide unclassified non-coding RNA is filed under the name uncultured fungus. Its description in RNAcentral is "sequence contains ITS1". The stretch from base 1 to 105 matches the Rfam family "5.8S ribosomal RNA", at positions 50 to 154 of the family's 154-position model. Lineage: Eukaryota; Fungi. The record is from RNAcentral.